This is a long non-coding RNA of Sphaeramia orbicularis (orbiculate cardinalfish), 700 nucleotides long. RefSeq lists it as uncharacterized. The record is from RefSeq and is a predicted model, not a curated record. Lineage: Eukaryota; Metazoa; Chordata; Actinopteri; Kurtiformes; Apogonidae. The transcript has 3 exons.
UGAGGCACAAGGGCUUGAACUGUUUGAUGAAGAUGAAAAUGGUGUGAAUCCAGUCUGUGGCCUUCUAUCAACGGGCGUCACUGAACCAGGGUGGUUCUGCAGGGAGCACCCCGGUGGUCAGACCUGAACCCGGUCUAACACCUGAACCACCAAACACCAUCAUCAAAUCCAGGAAAAUGACUGUUAGGAAAAAAACCUGGUUUGGUGGAGGCGGUGCGUUCAGGGCCUGUGGAAACUCCUGUAAACUCCAGUCCUAAACAUUUAAUAUGAACUCAAAUCAAACUGAGCAGUAGAGGGACUAUUUGUCUCAGCGGAGGAGUCUGACUGCACUGCGGCUACGCCUCAAACUUGUGUAGAUCUUAAUACGCUGCACAAAAUGUCCUGAAAUUAAGUUUUAAAAACAGAAGAAAAUACAGAAGAACACGGAUUGAACUGCGUAUGAAGAAGGAGAGAAGAUGAAGUGAAGGAACCAAAGGAGAACGGAACUAGGUCCAGCAGCGGAGGAAUACGGUCUGACAGCAGCUCGGCUCGGUUCGGAAGUCCGUUGGACUGUGGUGCACCGCUGUCUCCAUUUGGACUCCUCUGCAGAGCCAGGGCUUUUAUUACGCUGGGUCAGGUGUUUAGUUUGCUGAGGUGUACAGAUAGAAGAUCCUGUCCAAGGCUGGUGAGUCCAAGCCUUAGAUCCACUGUGUUGAACCCU